RNAcentral lists this ribosomal RNA (774 nucleotides) under uncultured Neocallimastigales. Its description in RNAcentral is "partial large subunit ribosomal RNA". It matches the Rfam family "Eukaryotic large subunit ribosomal RNA", at positions 24 to 633 of the family's 3401-position model. The record is from RNAcentral. Lineage: Eukaryota; Fungi; Neocallimastigomycota; Neocallimastigomycetes; Neocallimastigales.
UAUGUGAUCGUCUCUCGCAUAUCAAUAAGCGGAGGAAAAGAAACUAACAAGGAUUCCCCUAGUAACGGCGAGUGAAGCGGGAAGAGCUCAAAUUUGAAAUCUUAAAGGGUUUCCCUUUACGAAUUGUAGUUUAAAGAAGUGUUUUCUGUUGAGGUUUUGGUAGAAGUUCUUUGGAAUAGGACAUCAUAGAGGGUGAGAAUCCCGUAUUUGACCUUUACUUUCAACUUUGUGAUACACUUUCAAAGAGUCGGAUUGUUUGGGAAUGCAGUCCAAAAUGGGUGGUAAAUUUCAUCUAAAGCUAAAUAUUGGCGAGAGACCAAUAGCGAACAAGUACCGUGAGGGAAAGAUGAAAAGAACUUUGAAAAGAGAGUUAAACAGUACGUGAAAUUGUCAAAAGGGAAGCGUUUGACACCAGUGUUGUUUUUCUGAAAAUCAAUUAAAGAACUGUUUAUGCUAAGCUGUUUAGACUUUAUCAGCUAUCUGUUUAGUUUUGAGCUUUUCUUUAAUGCACUUUUCAGUUAACAAGUCAACAUCAAUUUCUUUUGCUGUAAAAAAGCUUGAGGAAGGUGGCUUGAGAUUCGUCUUAAGUGUUUAUAGCCUCUUGCCUAUGCAGUCGGAGAGAUUGAGGUCUGCAGCGUAGAUCCUUCGGGGCUAAAUGCAUUUGUGCUAAGUUAUAGCAUUUUAUAGACAACUUGUUGACUAUGAUUUGUCUUGUAGCUUACUCGCUUAUGUUAUUUUACCUACGCUUAGGAUGUUGAAGACUCUACAGAGAUA